Long non-coding RNA from Equus asinus (donkey), 6354 nucleotides. NCBI's taxonomy places the organism in Eukaryota, Metazoa, Chordata, Mammalia, Perissodactyla, Equidae. The record is from Ensembl.
CUGGGUUUCAGGCACCAUUGUGGUUCCUGGAGCCUCUGAUCUCAGGUACCACAGCAGUUCCUGAAGCUUUUGGUCACAGGCACCACCCACCACUGCUGGGCAAGGAGGAGGGGCUGAGUCACAAGUGCCACUGCAGUCCCUUGGAGGCCCUGGUCUCAAGUGCCAGUGUGAUUCCUGGAACCUCAGGUCAUGAGCUCUGCAGCCACUGCUGGGGGUCCUGAGGUCUUCGAUGCAGUCCCACUGCUGAGAGGGCUGGGAUUGAAGUGGAACUUCUCCAGGCCAGUGUGCUGACUUCUGACCAGCCUCAUCUGAAAGCACACCCUUUACAGACACAGACACCCUGAGGUACUGGGCCUCCAGCUUGCUCUAGGAGGACAGAGGACGACGGGUUAAGUUUGUUUGACAUAACUAGAAGGGGCUGUGCCUCUUCCCAGAAGAGCAAGGCCCAUUCAUGGCGAUUAGCAAGGCCCACCACUUCUAGCUGGCUUUUGCUUAUAGCAGCUGAGACACUGUUUCUUUCAGUAGAGGGAAAUCAAUGGGCUGGUGAUCCAACACUUCGGACUCCAAAGAAACCAGGACAGGUGACAAAGGUGCCCCAGGGUGAGACUCCUGCUUGCUGUGCCCAUGCCGGAGCUACGUCUUCUCUGAAAGCCAGCAGCAAAAGUGCUGACAUUUCGAUAUUUCCUUGUUGGUGUUCACUACUCCACAUCAAAGGGGGAACUCUGUCUGGGCAGGCCCCAGGCAUUCUGAGUGAAGAUGAGAGCAGAAGUGUCUAAAAGUGUAUGGUGGUGUCCCAUGAGACUGCAACAGAUGUGCUCUGACUGAGAUCACCCCAGCUGCUCUGAAUAAUGGUAGGAACAGAAAUAUCCAGAGCACAGGUAUGGAGCUGCCUUCUCCCAUUGUACCCCCCAGGUUCUGGACUGUGCCCAGGUGCUCUGACAGCAGCAUUUCCAAUCGCAGACAUGGUGCUAGCCUCUCAGACCGCGGCAGAUGUGCUUUGGCCAGGUGAACAGUAGGUGUCUGAUGGGAGGCAGGAACGGAAGUAUCUCCUGGCAUACCUUUUCUUCUCAGUGGCGCAGGUUUUACCAUAGUAACAGGUUUCCUCUGAGUAGGUGGGCCCCAAGUGCUCAGACCAGAUACAGGAAGACUCCAAAUGCAGUUGUGGUGUUGGCCCUUCCCGUCACAAAACACGUGCUCUCUUUAGCUAGGACCCAGGAGCUCUGACUGUAGGUAGGAACACAAAGGCCUCCAAGCACAGGUGAGAUGCUGGCUCCUUCAACUGCCACAAACUGUAGGCACAAAAAGAAGUAUCUCCAGCAUGGGGAUGGUGCUGUCCUCUUAAUUGAAACAGAUGUUCUCUGGCUGGACAGGUCCCAGGUGAUCACAAGGAGGAACAGAGUAUACAGCACAUGUUCCUUCUCAGUGAUGCUGUUUCCUCCAGUGGUAGUAGGUAUGUUUUGGCUGGACUGGCUCUAGGUUCUCUCAUUAUAUGUGGGAAGGAAAGUGUUUCCUAGGACAGAUUUGCUCUCAGUAAUGCUGGCUCUCCGAUUUUAACAGGGAUACAAAAGGUUGACAGGACCCUGGUGCUCAGGUCUGAGUCUCCCCCAACAUGAGCCAUGGUUCUGGGUGUCCCACUUGUCCUUGCUCCAAAGCUGAGUGUUCAAGACAUGGUGCUGGGGCCUCAGACAUACACAAUGACCUCAAAGCUGCCACUACCCGUAAGGGCUGAAAAUCUCAUAAAUCCAAAUGGGUCUGGUGUGGUGUUGGCAAAAGAUGAGCAGGAGUCCUCAGUGCUAUGCCUGCUGGUGGAUGAGCCAAUAGGGAAACAGCUGAAGUGCCACCAAAGGCUGCCUGGGUGCUGACAGUGAUGCCAAAGUUGGAAGAUGGGAAUGUCAAACUCCCAAAAGGUGACUGAGUUGUGCUCCUAUUGGGUUCCAUGGCUGCAGGAUAGGUUAAGUGUGGAGAUUUUGCUUGGGCUGCCAGGUUUCCCAAAGGGAAAGAGUUGUCAAAGCUGUCAAGAGGAGGCAGGAAGAUAACAGACUAGGAAUUGAACAUGGUACCCACCUAGAUUUCACUGGAGUCAAAGGCAGGCUUGGAUGCCGAGUCUGAAGAGGGGCUGGUUAUUGGAGUGAGGUGACUGCAGAAUCAGUGGUCGCUGGGCCAGAAAUGACAGUGGCAUGGGGGAGAGUGUCUCCCUAUCGCUGCCAACAUAGGCUCCUGAAUUUCAGCUGAAGGGUGGUUCCUGCCCCAAAGGGAAGGUUGAAAGUUCAGGUACAGCUGCUGACCAUAAAAGCAGGUGGGCUGGUGACAACUGCGACCUUUGCGGGGGAUAUCUGCUGCACGUUGCGGGUGCUUGGUCAAAUGGGAGGGAGCUCACGUGGGAUCCUGGUGGAGACCUGAAGAUGGAAGCCCGGGAAGGCAGGGCGGUGUUGAUAUCAGUUGUAGCAAAGUCCACAGCACCCCAGGAGGUCCAAUCUGAAGAUGGGCAGACUGGGAUGGUGGAAGUGAUUGCAGAGGCAGUGAUGGGCUGGCUGGUGAAGAUAGGGAUACUGGUGAAAGGGACUUGAGGAGUCUGUGAGAAAAAGGGAGGAAAAUCCACAUACACAGGUGUAGGUGACUCAAUUCUACAGUAGGUAGGCUGUAAGGGGAGGGAUGGGUGCUGGGAGGUUAAGAGAAGUAGAAGAUCCUGCAGCGGUGACCAAGGGACUGGAAUGCAAAGGGCCUCUCUUCUCAUUAUUAAGGGGAGCUCCCAAUAUGGGUUGGAAUCUAAAGUGACAAACAGCAGGAAUAGCAAAAGAAGGAGAGUUAGAGAUUGCACUUCUCAUCUUAUGAUCAGCAUCUGGUGUGGGGGAUGGAUGGGUACAGGGGCAGACAGGAUUGGUGGCCCAACAGACGGGUCAGGCAAAUCAGUGACUGCUAAUUUGAUAGCAUCCAGAAUCUGCAAGGGGGAAGUGGCCAAUGGCAAUGUAACUGCAGUCCCCAAAACAAACAGGGAGAAAAAACAGGCAGGCUGGGCGGAACUGAUGUUGGAAGUGCCUCAGUUUUCUCCUCCAACCUUGUGGUUCCAUUGGCUCAGUGUUCUUCUCCAAGCCGAGGUCUCCAGCAAUGACCAUAUAAGAAAGAUGGGAGGUGGGGGCAGCUCACCUUGACCCCACAACAGUGGCAGUGGCAGCAGUAGUGGCAGCAAUAGUGGCAUUGAAAAUUUCCAUUUACAGAGCCUGCAACUGACAGACGUGGCUGGUGACUUUCUUUGACAGACUGUCUGAAAGCUUUCCUCUCUGAGUCUUCUUCUUUGACUUCAAUAAGGCUGGAGAGCUGAGUCAGUGGCCUUCAUCAAGCUCUUCCCUUGUCAGCCUCUCCGGCAACGGGAAGCUAGGCUGGGCCAGACAGUCCUGCCGCACCUGGAUCAGUGGUACAAAGCAGCAUUAAGCCUCUGGCAGGGCUGUGUGAGCCGGUGAUGGUACAGCCCUUGGUGAAAGAGCUCGUGGAAGACGUCUGUGAUAUCUUACCUAAGCUAUCUUCUUGGAAUAGAGGCGCAGGAGUGCUCCCAAAUACAUGACAACUCCACUCGUCACCGGGAGGCUGGAUGCUGAUGGUGCAUUUCCAUGGCUAUGGGGGCCCCUUUUCUGAUAGUCCUGCCUUUGGACACCUUUUGAUUCUCUUCCUCCUUCAACAUCGCCUCCCCUCACACACCUCGUGUCUUCAGCUCAGUCUCCUUUAAGCAAGGAUCUGGAGGGUGAUUGCAUGGCCCAGGCCUUGCAGAGAUGACUGCUUGAUAAAGUGGCAAAGGAGGAGGAAAGUCAGUUUGUCCAUGGAGGAGGGAUUUUUACCAUUCCAGAGUGGCUGGACACUUGGAGGUACAAGAAAGCAGCAGCAGCUUCUUCAGAGAGUGCCCUCGGGACCCUCAGAGAGAAGCACUGAGGCUGCCUAAGCUGAUAUGGCCUCUUAGGAGGCAUGUAACACCCAGGGGCAAAGGCACUGGAUCCAGGUGGAACUGCCUAGGAAAAGGGCCAACGAGAGGCACAGAGGUAGCGGGGUGAUCUCAGCCAGAAGGGGAACACAAGUGUGGCUGGGGCAGGGCAGGGCAGGAGCGCAGCUUGCUGAGGAUGUUGCCCAGGAAGGGCAGUUUGUUCACUGUCUGAUCCUGGGGAUAUAGACUCAAUUUGGGGGGCUCUCCUAGGUAACUGCUCCUUCAUGGUGAACCAUGUGCCAUUCCCCCAGAAGGUGGUAACACAGCAUUGGAACAUGCGAUAGAAAAGUGCACUAGCUAAGCACGCAUCAGAGAAGGGCAUAAGGAAGAAAUGCCAAGGCAUGGGGCGAGGCCCAGAGGCCAAACCUCAGCAGGACUUUCUGGCGCUUCCUGACAGCCUCCUGCUGGUCGCAGGUGUUUGGCACUAAACGGAUCUGGUGGUUUGAUGAGACUGUUCAUGACUGAAUUCCAAGAGCCUGCAUAACGGUCACUGCCAAGUCACCGUGUCUGCAGGCACCACAGUGCCUGACUUGAGGGCAGGGCCAUAGGCAAGCUGUGUUCAGGGGUCUGCUAGUCCUUUUCCCGAGUCAGCCAGAGCAGGAGAACAGCCUAGCCCUGCCAGGGUGGGGGCCUGGCUUGUGGAAGGUUGGGGUCGAGAGAUGUGUUGGCGAGGCGAGGGGUCAUCUCUGUCUCACAUGGUUACUGUGUGCCCAGUGUGGGAUGGCUGCAGCAGGGCAUGUGCUAAGGUGGGGGCAGGGGGAGAGGUGAAUUUACCCCAGCUUCUUCCUUUCAGGCAACCACCACGGAUGCCCCCAGGUAACUCCUACCACCUACCCCCACCCCAUCCAUGCUGGUAGGUGAAGGCUUGGAACACCACCUCCUCCAGAGGCCACUCGAGCUCCUCUCCAGUUCCUGGAGUCACACACACCUUUUCUGUGGCCACUCUGGGAAGGCGAGUGUCACGAGCAUCACCAGCUGGACUCAGAAGGUUUCUGAGGCAGAGACGUGGUUACUGUACCACAACACAUCCUCUCCCGGCAGGCAGUUUCUGUUCACUUAUUUUUACAAAUUUGGUAAAACAGUGUUUAAGUCACAGGUGGUAGUGGCCCAGUCAGAAUCUGAACCCAGGUUGAUUCCAGAGCUCACGUGUUCAACCACCAGACGGCGGUACCUCCUCAACAGGGCCCAUCAUGCGUUACCAUUUUUUUUUUUUAAAGAUUUUAUUUUUUCCUUUUUCUCCCCAAAGCCCCCCGGUACAUAGUUGUGUAUUCUUCGUUGUGGGUUCUUCUAGUUGUGGCAUGUGGGACGCUGCCUCAGCGUGGUCUGAUGAGCAGUGCCAUGUCCGCCCCCAGGAUUCAAACUAACGAAACACUGGGCCGCCUGCAGCGGAGCGCGCGAACUUAACCACUCGGCCACGGGGCCAGCCCCCAUGCGUUACCAUUUUUGACACCUACUACAGUUACAUAUCCAUAAUGAACACAGCCUCGGCCUAUGAGAAGGUCUUCUUUGGCUCAACUCAUCAGUCAACCUUUGGCCAGACUGGGCUCCAGUCUCUCAGAGAAGGUAGGACAGGGCCUGCAAUUGGUGACACAUCCCUAUGAGGCAUCUCUCCUCAGUAUGAGCCUUGCAGCAAACCGUGCAUCUGUGUGAGAUCUUCUCCAGGUACACGGACACCAGAUGCACAUCAGAUGGGUGCUGGAUCUUUCACAGCAAACCUUAUGCCCCAAGGGCACGAAUAUCUCUUGUAACAAUUCCAUAAACCAGCUUUCAGGGUCCCAGCUGAAAUGAACAACUUACCGAUAUUAAGUUUUCUAGUCCACAAGAGUGUGGUACAACUUUCCCUAUUUUGGGGUAUUUUAAAAAAUCUUUCUCUCAGAUAAUGUUUUGUAGCAGGGUUCCAAAAAUUACAGCUCAUGGGUCAAAUUUGGCCCACAGCCUAUUCUUGUAAUGCCAAUGAGCUUAAAAUGGUGUUAACAUUUUAAAAAGGCUGUAAAAACCAAACAAAACAGAAAAACAGAAGAAUAUGCAACAGAGACCAUACAUAAACUGCAAAGCGUAUAACAUUUCCUAUCUGGUCCUUCACAGCAAAAGUUUGCCAAUCCCUGUUCUGUACUUUUUGGUGCAAAGGUCUUGUACAGUAUUUGAUAAUUUAUUACUGGUACUAUAUGAGGUUUUUAAAAUGAUAUUGUAGAUGCUAUCUUUUAAAUUUUAGUUUUCAGUUGUGUACUGGUAGCAUAUAGAAUAUGCAAUUGGCUUAUACAUAUUGAUCUUGUAUGCUGGAACGUUGCUAAAUUCACUCCAUCCUUCCGUUAGUUUGUAGAUUUCUUAUGAUUUUCUACAAACUCAUUCAUAUUUUCUGUGAAUAAAGAGAGUUUUACAUCUUC